GACGAACGCUGGCGGCGUGCCUAAUACAUGCAAGUAGAACGCACAGUUUAUACCGUAGCUUGCUACACCAUAAACUGUGAGUUGCGAACGGGUGAGUAACGCGUAGGUAACCUGCCUGGUAGCGGGGGAUAACUAUUGGAAACGAUAGCUAAUACCGCAUAAUAUUGAUUAUUGCAUGAUAAUUGAUUGAAAGAUGCUAUUGCAUCACUACCAGAUGGACCUGCGUUGUAUUAGCUAGUAGGUGAGGUAACGGCUCACCUAGGCGACGAUACAUAGCCGACCUGAGAGGGUGAUCGGCCACACUGGGACUGAGACACGGCCCAGACUCCUACGGGAGGCAGCAGUAGGGAAUCUUCGGCAAUGGACGAAAGUCUGACCGAGCAACGCCGCGUGAGUGAAGAAGGUUUUCGGAUCGUAAAGCUCUGUUGUAAGAGAAGAACGGGUGUGAGAGUGGAAAGUUCACACUGUGACGUAUCUACCAGAAAGGACGCA
This 492-nucleotide ribosomal RNA is filed under the name Streptococcus gordonii. RNAcentral describes it as "bacterial SSU rRNA". It matches the Rfam family "Bacterial small subunit ribosomal RNA", at positions 28 to 496 of the family's 1533-position model. Lineage: Bacteria; Bacillati; Bacillota; Bacilli; Lactobacillales; Streptococcaceae. The record is from RNAcentral.